This 402-nucleotide ribosomal RNA is filed under the name uncultured Acetobacterium sp. RNAcentral's name for it is "bacterial SSU rRNA". It matches the Rfam family "Bacterial small subunit ribosomal RNA", at positions 66 to 460 of the family's 1533-position model. Lineage: Bacteria; Bacillati; Bacillota; Clostridia; Eubacteriales; Eubacteriaceae. The record is from RNAcentral.
AUGGAAUGAACCUUCGGGGGAAUGAAAUCCUAGAAAGUGGCGAACGGGUGAGUAACGCGUGGGUAACCUGCCCUAUGGAAAGGAAUAGCCUCGGGAAACUGGGAGUAAUGCCUUAUAAUAUACGAGAGUCGCAUGGCUUUUGUAUUAAACGCUCCGGUGCCAUAGGAUGGACCCGCGUCCCAUUAGCUAGUUGGUGAGAUAACAGCUCACCAAGGCGAAGACGGGUAGCCGGCCUGAGAGGGUGAACGGCCACACUGGAACUGAGAGACGGUCCAGACUCCUACGGGAGGCAGCAGUGGGGAAUAUUGGGCAAUGGGGGAAACCCUGACCCAGCGACGCCGCGUGAGGGAAGAAGGCCUUAGGGUCGUAAACCUCUGUUGUGUGGGAAGAAGAGCGUGACGG